Molecule: ribosomal RNA, 450 nt
Filed under: uncultured bacterium
Lineage: Bacteria
Description: partial 16S ribosomal RNA
Rfam family: Bacterial small subunit ribosomal RNA
Source: RNAcentral
GUGGGGAAUAUUGGACAAUGGGCGAAAGCCUGAUCCAGCCAUGCCGCGUGUGUGAAGAAGGUCUUCGGAUUGUAAAGCACUUUAAGUUGGGAGGAAGGGCAGUAAGUUAAUACCUUGCUGUUUUGACGUUACCGACAGAAUAAGCACCGGCUAACUUCGUGCCAGCAGCCGCGGUAAUACGAAGGGUGCAAGCGUUAAUCGGAAUUACUGGGCGUAAAGCGCGCGUAGGUGGUUUUGUAAGUUGGAGGUGAAAUCCCCGGGCUCAACCUGGGAACUGCCUCCAAAACUGCAUGACUAGAGUACGGGAGAGGGUAGUGGAAUUUCCUGUGUAGCGGUGAAAUGCGUAGAUAUAGGAAGGAACACCAGUGGCGAAGGCGACUACCUGGACUGAUACUGACACUGAGGUGCGAAAGCGUGGGGAGCAAACAGGAUUAGAUACCCGGGUAGUCC